UGCAUUGUUGUCUGUAAUUAAGGAUUCCUAUUGAACUUCCAAUAUUCCGACACAGGGCUCCAAUAAGCGGGAAUACAGAGCAGAGCGCACCUUUUCCCCUAAGCUCGCUCCCCCAUGCACCAGACGGCCUGCAAAUAUGCAGGUAUUACAGAAAAAGGCUGCCUAUCUGACUGUUGGGGGAAAAAGAGAGGAGCAGGAGCCAGCAGCUGAGAUGUCCAACAGAGCACGUCAUGAGGCCCGGUGGCGCACUGACAGACACUUUCCAUACAUACAUUAACACAUCACACGAUUGCCUAGCAUUGGCUCAGCCUGUGUCUGUGGAGUUUUGUAUGUUCACUCGGAUGCAGACAGACUCGCUGGGAUUUAUGCAUGAGAUCAAAUAACAGAGGAGGAAAAAGACUCAGACGCUGUAAUGCUCAGAGCUGGCAAGAAUAUACAAUUAGUGCUGCGCUGCUGAGAAACAAUCCAAGUCUGAUUGACCCACCUGUCUGGUGUCCUUCUCUUGCCGUUCUCAUUGACGUCCAGCAGGAGUUCGGAGGAGUCAACGGGAGAGGUGGUACUGGUGUCGAGGAGCAGCUGCUCAUGCUGGGCAAGGUACUGAGCCGGGUUCUGCUUGGCCAGCCGGGCACAGUGCAGCAGCUCCCUCUGAAGGAGUGGCAGGUUGGCCUGUGAGGAAAGAGCACUGUAUUUAAAACCUGAGCUAAUGUUAGAAGCUACCAACAGUGUUUUGCUUUCUGACUUUGAAGAGAAGGAGGAAUUUAAAUAUCAAAACUGCACUUUUGCUUUAAAAUGAAAAGUCACACAUUCAGUGAGUCGUUCCUCUUUUUAAGAGGAUUGGUUUAUAACCAAGCAACAACCUCCAGUAGUGUAAAAAUAAGCUGUUGCAGAGGUGGAAAAAACUGCAGUCCUUGAGUGUCCACUUGAGACCGGCUCCAAAAGCCAAGGAAAGAGCUCAUAUUAAAAUUCCAAUUUUACAGCAGAACUAAACAGCCUGGUACAAAAUAUACUUCUGGUCUUCAUAUCUCAUUUGCAGUGAUUAAAGUUUUUGUUGUUUUUUCUAAAAAACAUAUCCAUUUGGCUUAUAUUAAGCUAAGUAUUAUGCAUAAUUAGACGUGUUUAGAGGCACGGCUGAGUCAACAGACAGCUCGGCGAGCUACAGAUGUUUGCUAAGUGGCUAGGUGGCUAGGCUAAUUUCUCAACUCCAUGUCUUUACCGUUUUUUUGAUUAGCCAGAAGUUAGCUGGAAUUAGUAUUUCCAAUAUGGCGGCUGCCAUCUUUACGCUUCAUCACUUUUUUUCGGAAACUAAUGGUUGAUGUCACAGAGAAUUGGUCCAUGUUUUCCACAGUCUAUAUGUAUAAGUGAUGUCUUAAACAGAAAUAUCUUUUUUUAAAGAUGUACAUUUCAGAUUUCAAAUACAAUUUUGCAUGCAUUGCUUUAAUUUUAGUCUUGUCAGAUUAAAGCACCUGUGAGGAAUUUACAGGUGUUUGAGAAGUUUGAGUGGCUUUUGGCGCCCCCAUUUGACAAAGUAGUACCUCUCAUCACUUUGCUGUUUUCUGUACAGGUUUUGAUUGUCUUUUUUUUCUGACAGAAAUUUCAUCCUUGCAUUUGUGGCUCAUACAGUGGCAACAGUCUG
Molecule: long non-coding RNA, 1633 nt
Organism: Notolabrus celidotus (New Zealand spotty)
Lineage: Eukaryota; Metazoa; Chordata; Actinopteri; Labriformes; Labridae
Exons: 3
Source: RefSeq, a predicted model, not a curated record